UACGUAGGGACCAAGCGUUGUUCGGAUUUACUGGGCGUAAAGGGCGCGUAGGCGGCUUGACAAGUCACUUGUGAAAUCUCCGGGCUUAACUCGGAACGGCCAAGUGAAACUGUCAUGCUAGAGUGCAGAAGGGGCAGUCGGAAUUCUUGGUGUAGCGGUGAAAUGCGUAGAUAUCAAGAGGAACACCUGAGGUGAAGACGGGUUGCUGGGCUGACACUGACGCUGAGGCGCGAAAGCCAGGGGAGCAAACGGG
RNAcentral lists this ribosomal RNA (253 nucleotides) under uncultured bacterium. RNAcentral describes it as "partial 16S ribosomal RNA". It matches the Rfam family "Bacterial small subunit ribosomal RNA", at positions 524 to 776 of the family's 1533-position model. The record is from RNAcentral.